GCUCUAACACUGUGAUUCUUUGAAACAUGCCUGGUCAGUGAGAAGCUUCUGACCUGCGGAGAGCUGUAUUCAAGGCUCAGUGUCUACUUAGCGGUGACUAUUGCUUCUUUACAGCAGGGGCUUUCAACUUCAGCACUAGUGUCAUUUGGGGCUGGAUGAUUCUUUGUGGCACGGGGCCAGCCUGUGCAUUGUAAGAUGUUUAGCAGCACAGCUCGCCUCCUCCCGCCAGAUGCCGGGAGCACCUCCUUAUCCUGCCCUAGUGGUGAGAAACAAAAUUGCUUCCAGACAUUGCCCGGCAUCCCCUGGGGGGCAAAACUGCCUCUCGAGAACCGCUGCUCUAUAGGAAUAAAGAGAGAAGGCAGUGCAGACUAUCUGAAGAAGCCUGUCUUGCAAAAGCACUUUCUACUGGAAUGUGUCGUGCAACCUGCAGAGUUUGUGGAUUUAUCUCCCCAAGAAGGACAUUUUUCACUGUCUGCAAAACUGGGAAGACACAGAGGGAGAGGCAAAAGAGCCUGCUCCCUCCGGACCUGCUCUCCCCUCCCCCUCCUCCUCCUCCUCCCUCACCAGGAAAGCGACGGUGCCUCUGGGUCCUAGCUGCUCCCACUGCAGCGGCAGACCACGGAGAGCUGCCCCAGACACCUGCUGCCCUUUUCUCUCCGUGAACCUGGAGAGGAGGUUCCCCGUUGCAGUGAGCAUGAAAAACCCAGACCUGAAAGGGAGGGCGUGUUUUCACAGCACCUUCUCCUCGUCAGCCUCUUUCCAACGCUCCUGAAAACCGGCUCUGAAAAGAUCUGCUCUGUUCAGACAACGACUAACCGGGCUCCUCACCCAGAGCCCGAGGGUGAGGGAGAGGAAAACCGUGUCAUUAAGUUUGAGGGACAGGCCUUGGAGAGGCACAGAGACACAGGACCUCAGUGCGGGAUCACGAAGUCCAGACUUUCUGGUUUACAAGGGAAGCUGUUAUGGCCCAGAGAGGCUCACCGACCCCGCAUCAGUAUGUAUGAACGCGGAAUGUACACUUGAAUGUGAAAGGUACAUAUGGUGGCUUCCAGUGGAUUCACUGAUAACUCAGUCCAGAGAAAGAAUGAGGCGCAGGACGGGCCCCUGAGGCUGCUCACCAGGAUGGAGUAAGGGAGAGGCUGGUCUGAGAUGAUACAGACUCCCCAGGUCCUGAGAAUUGUCACUGCCUGAUCUUGGCCCACAGACCUUGAGACUAGGUCCAGAUUUUACCACCAAACUGACCAUCCAGGGGUUCCAGGACUGGUCUCUGGACCUUUGCUUUGAAUGCUGCAGAAUUCCCAGAAGAACCCACAACUGAGAUCUGGCUGACAGGGAUGGAGCUCCAGUAACUCACCAGGGAAGACACCUGCUCCUCUUACUGCAACUGCAGGAUGAUAUAGACAGGAGUGUCCCCAGCCACUCUGAGCACACCUAACAGGUCUGCGGUUUAAGCCAGUCAAGGCUGGCCCAGUAUUGUCCAACAAGCUCACAUCCUAACGGCCUGUUCUGGACAAAAGCAAUCACUCAGAAAUGUUUCUCCAUGGAACGCCAUCGGAGUCCCUGAGGUCCUCGGCCUGGGCGUGGAAGGAGGAAGGCUGGAACCUGUGCUGUGGUCAGGAAUGGUGGCUGAGGCCCAAGUCUGAAACAAGAAGCUAAGCACCAAGUCCUGAGGAUUUGGCCCAGACACCCCAUGCCAGCCUUAUCAGGAAGCGCAGGACUGGGCCUGCCACCACCCACCGCCUUGUCCGGGCCCCUCCCCGCGAUGUUGGGGGAGCACUGGGACGCAAGGGAAGGGGGUCUUCCUAGCACUCAGGCCGCGUGCGUGCAUGCGUGGUCAGGAGCUGAUAUCUCACCAUGGGGAUGGGGAUGCCUUCCCUUCUCCCGUGACAAGUGCAAAGACUGGUGACCCAUGAGAAGGGAACCAGUUGCUGGAAGUUUGCAGAGGCACAGAACCCACAGGCUCGCCCUGCAUUGUCACAAAAAUUCAGCAUGGUGGAGGAGCUCUUGGGGAGGCCAACCUGGGCCCCCUGAAG
This is a long non-coding RNA of Equus caballus (horse), 2033 nucleotides long. The record is from Ensembl. Lineage: Eukaryota; Metazoa; Chordata; Mammalia; Perissodactyla; Equidae.